Non-coding RNA from Podarcis lilfordi (Lilford's wall lizard), 76 nucleotides. NCBI's taxonomy places the organism in Eukaryota, Metazoa, Chordata, Lepidosauria, Squamata, Lacertidae. The record is from the annotation of a GenBank genome assembly.
GGAAUGGGUGUAGCUCAAUAGUUAAAGCCCCUGUUUUCCAAGCAGAAGGGCCCACGAUUGAUCCCUGGCAUCUCUG